AUUGAACGCUGGCGGCAUGCUUUACACAUGCAAGUCGAACGGCAGCGCGGGCUUCGGCCUGGCGGCGAGUGGCGAACGGGUGAGUAAUACAUCGGAACGUGCCCAGUAGUGGGGGAUAGCUCGGCGAAAGCCGGAUUAAUACCGCAUACGACCUGAGGGUGAAAGUGGGGGAUCUUCGGACCUCGCGCUAUUGGAGCGGCCGAUGGCAGAUUAGCUAGUUGGUGGGGUAAAGGCCUACCAAGGCGACGAUCUGUAGCUGGUCUGAGAGGACGACCAGCCACACUGGGACUGAGACACGGCCCAGACUCCUACGGGAGGCAGCAGUGGGGAAUUUUGGACAAUGGGCGAAAGCCUGAUCCAGCAAUGCCGCGUGUGUGAUGAAGGCCUUCGGGUUGUAAAGCACUUUUGGCGGGAACGAAAAGGACUGUGCCAAUACCACGGUUCGAUGACGGUACCCGCAGAAUAAGCACCGGCUAACUACGUG
RNAcentral lists this ribosomal RNA (484 nucleotides) under uncultured bacterium. RNAcentral describes it as "partial 16S ribosomal RNA". It matches the Rfam family "Bacterial small subunit ribosomal RNA", at positions 29 to 507 of the family's 1533-position model. The record is from RNAcentral.